UACAGAGGUCUCACGCGUUGUUCGGAUUCAUUGGGCGUAAAGGGUGCGUAGGCGGCGCGGUAAGUCGGGUGUGAAAUCUCGGGGCUUAACUCCGAAACUGCAUUCGAUACUGCCGUGCUUGAGGACUGGAGAGGAGACUGGAAUUUACGGUGUAGCGGUGAAAUGCGUAGAUAUCGUAAGGAAGACCAGUGGCGAAGGCGGGUCUCUGGACAGUUCCUGACGCUGAGGCACGAAGGUCAGGGGAGCAAACGGG
Molecule: ribosomal RNA, 253 nt
Filed under: uncultured bacterium
Lineage: Bacteria
Description: partial 16S ribosomal RNA
Rfam family: Bacterial small subunit ribosomal RNA
Source: RNAcentral